Molecule: ribosomal RNA, 494 nt
Filed under: uncultured bacterium
Lineage: Bacteria
Description: partial 16S ribosomal RNA
Rfam family: Bacterial small subunit ribosomal RNA
Source: RNAcentral
GACGAACGCUGGCGGCGUGCUUAACACAUGCAAGUCGAACGGAAAGGCCUGCUUUCCCUUGUGGAUUGCGGGUACUUGAGUGGCGAACGGGUGAGUAACACGUGAGUGAUCUGCCCCCAACUUGGGUAUAAGCCUGGGAAACUGGGUCUAAUUCCCGAUAGGACUGCAGGGUGGUGCCUGUGGUGGAAAACGAUUUUCUAGUGGUUGGGGAUGAGCUCGCGGCCUAUCAGCUUGUUGGUGGGGUAAUGACCUACCAAGGCGGCGACGGGUAGCCGGCCUGAGAGGGUGGACGGCCACAUUGGGACUGAGAUACGGCCCAGACUCCUACGGGAGGCAGCAGUGGGGAAUAUUGCACAAUGGGCGGAAGCCUGAUGCAGCGACGCCGCGUGGGGGAUGACGGCCUUCGGGUUGUAAACUCCUUUCGACCGCGAGGAAGCCACCUGGUUGGAAGGGUGGUGACGGUAGUGGUAGAAGAAGCACCGGCUAACUACGUG